CUGGGAUACCAUUUGGAAACAGAUGCUAAUACCGGAUAAAAAGCUACUUUCGCAUGAAAAGAGUUUAAAAAAGGCGGCGUAAGCUGUCGCUAAAAGGAUGGACCUGCGAUGCAUUAGCUAGUUGGUAAGGUAACGGCUUACCAAGGCGAUGAUGCAUAGCCGAGUUGAGAGACUGAUCGGCCACAUUGGGACUGAGACACGGCCCAAACUCCUACGGGAGGCAGCAGUAGGGAAUUUUCCACAAUGGACGCAAGUCUGAUGGAGCAACGCCGCGUGAGUGAAGAAGGUUUUCGGAUCGUAAAGCUCUGUUGUUGGUGAAGAAGGAUAGAGGUAGUAACUGGCCUUUAUUUGACGGUAAUCAACCAGAAAGUCACGGGCUAACUACGUGCCAGCAGCCGCGGUAAA
Molecule: ribosomal RNA, 405 nt
Filed under: uncultured Lactobacillus sp.
Lineage: Bacteria; Bacillati; Bacillota; Bacilli; Lactobacillales; Lactobacillaceae
Description: bacterial SSU rRNA
Rfam family: Bacterial small subunit ribosomal RNA
Source: RNAcentral